UUAAGUUCAGCGGGUAUCCUCGUCUGAUCUGAGGUCAAAGAGAAGGGUUUCUUUGAAGGGGGGGCUAGGCCAAGGCUGCCGCAAAAGAAGAGUUCUACUAUUUGCGGUUUGCUGGCUAGCUUACCCCGCGUCAGGUUUAAGCGGGGGGGUCCACGGUGGGACCACCCGCCGCCAACACCGGUAAUUUGGAUACUACCGAA
RNAcentral lists this unclassified non-coding RNA (200 nucleotides) under Orbiliales sp. RNAcentral describes it as "partial internal transcribed spacer 2". The record is from RNAcentral. Lineage: Eukaryota; Fungi; Ascomycota; Orbiliomycetes; Orbiliales.